RNAcentral lists this ribosomal RNA (494 nucleotides) under uncultured bacterium. Its description in RNAcentral is "partial 16S ribosomal RNA". It matches the Rfam family "Bacterial small subunit ribosomal RNA", at positions 28 to 507 of the family's 1533-position model. The record is from RNAcentral.
GACGAACGCUGGCGGCGCGCUUAACACAUGCAAGUCGAACGGAAAGGCCUGCUUUCCCUUGUGGAUUGCGGGUACUCGCGUGGCGAACGGGUGAGUAACACGUGAGUGAUCUGCCCCCAACUUGGGUAUAAGCCUGGGAAACUGGGUCUAAUUCCCGAUAGGACUGCAGGGUGGUGCCUGUGGUGGCAAACGAUUUUCUAGUGGUUGGGGAUGAGCUCGCGGCCUAUCAGCUUGUUGGUGGGGUAAUGGCCUACCAAGGCGGCGACGGGUAGCCGGCCUGGGAGGGUGGGCGGGCACAGUGGGACUGAGAUACGGCCCAGACGCCUACGGGAGGCAGCAGUGGGGAAGAAUGCACAAGGGGCGGAAGCCUGAGGCAGCGACGCCGCGGGGGGGAUGACGGCCUUCGGGUUGUAAACUCCUUGCGACCGCGAGGAAGCCACCUGGAUGGAAGGGUGGUGACGGUAGUGGUAGAAGAAGCACCGGCUAACUACGUG